GUCUAUGGCCAUUACCACCCUGAAUGAGCCUGAUCUCAUCUGAUCUCGGAAGCUAAGCGGGGUUGGGCCUGGUUAGUACUUGGAUGGGAGAAAUGGACAAGGUGGGACACACAGACA
Molecule: ribosomal RNA, 117 nt
Filed under: Microcebus murinus (gray mouse lemur)
Lineage: Eukaryota; Metazoa; Chordata; Mammalia; Primates; Cheirogaleidae
Source: RNAcentral